GUCACGCACUUCAUUAUAAUUAUAAUUACAUUACGUACUCCAUUCUAAUAUAAAUUUAAAUUGAAUUUAUAGACCAAGUUAUGGAAAAUGAAAAGACGUUAUGGACCCUACUACAUACUACUACUACCCAUAACUUGAGCCUAUUCCUCACCUGCAGAGCGUCCGUCCAGCUCCAUCCCUCAAGCUCUCAGGCAGUGUCACUGUCUUUCUUUCUUUUCUGUAUCUGGGCUAGCUCAAGCUCUCCUCCCCCUUGUUCUGAUCUCUCCCUAGAGUUCCGUUCCCAUUUAAUUAACCUGAAGCUCAUGAUCAGUGUUACGUGUAGUCAUACAUACAGUUAAUUAUAG
This 344-nucleotide long non-coding RNA is filed under the name Panax ginseng (ginseng). Its description in RNAcentral is "long non-coding RNA (PGIN_LNC012274)". Lineage: Eukaryota; Viridiplantae; Streptophyta; Magnoliopsida; Apiales; Araliaceae. The record is from RNAcentral.